GUUGGGGUUGUAGGACACUCUAUACGGAGUUACAAAGGACGACAUUAGACGAAUCAUCUGGAAAGAUGAAUCAAAGAAGGUAAUAAUCCUGUAGUCGAAAAUGUUGUCUCUCUUGAGUGGAUCCUGAGUACGACGGAGCACGUGAAAUUCCGUCGGAAUCUGGGAGGACCAUCUCCUAAGGCUAAAUACUCUCUAGUGACCGAUAGUGAACCAGUACCGUGAGGGAAAGGUGAAAAGCACCCCGGAAGGGGAGUGAAAUAGAACCUGAAACCGUGUGCUUACAAGUAGUCAGAGCCCGUUAAUGGGUGAUGGCGUGCCUUUUGUAGAAUGAACCGGCGAGUUACGAUUUGAUGCAAGGUUAAGCAGUAAAUGUGGAGCCGUAGCGAAAGCGAGUCUGAAUAGGGCGUUUAGUAUUUGGUCGUAGACCCGAAACCAGGUGAUCUACCCUUGGUCAGGUUGAAGUUCAGGUAACACUGAAUGGAGGACCGAACCGACUUACGUUGAAAAGUGAGCGGAUGAACUGAGGGUAGCGGAGAAAUUCCAAUCGAACCUGGAGAUAGCUGGUUCUCUCCGAAAUAGCUUUAGGGCUAGCCUCAAGUGAUGAUUAUUGGAGGUAG
RNAcentral lists this ribosomal RNA (617 nucleotides) under Staphylococcus aureus. RNAcentral's name for it is "partial 23S ribosomal RNA". It matches the Rfam family "Bacterial large subunit ribosomal RNA", at positions 291 to 905 of the family's 2925-position model. The record is from RNAcentral. Lineage: Bacteria; Bacillati; Bacillota; Bacilli; Caryophanales; Staphylococcaceae.